RNAcentral lists this ribosomal RNA (250 nucleotides) under uncultured bacterium. RNAcentral's name for it is "partial 16S ribosomal RNA". It matches the Rfam family "Bacterial small subunit ribosomal RNA", at positions 779 to 1028 of the family's 1533-position model. The record is from RNAcentral.
UAGAUACCCUGGUAGUCCACGCCGUAAACGAUGUCAACUAGCCGUUGGGAGCCUUGAGCUCUUAGUGGCGCAGCUAACGCAUUAAGUUGACCGCCUGGGGAGUACGGCCGCAAGGUUAAAACUCAAAUGAAUUGACGGGGGCCCGCACAAGCGGUGGAGCAUGUGGUUUAAUUCGAAGCAACGCGAAGAACCUUACCAGGCCUUGACAUCCAAUGAACUUUCUAGAGAUAGAUUGGUGCCUUCGGGAACA